This is a long non-coding RNA of Brachypodium distachyon (stiff brome), 1049 nucleotides long. RefSeq lists it as uncharacterized. NCBI's taxonomy places the organism in Eukaryota, Viridiplantae, Streptophyta, Magnoliopsida, Poales, Poaceae. The transcript has a single exon. The record is from RefSeq and is a predicted model, not a curated record.
UCACACCCCAUGGCCUCCUCUCGUGCACAGAACCCCCAUCGCUUCCCGGCCACACACACACACCCAGAUUCUUUUCUUCCACUAGCUUGGCUCCUCCUUCCCUGCAGCUGCCAGUAUAUACAGUCGGCAACCAAGCCAACAAGACUACUACUCAUUAAUUUGCUCCAUCUCCGUCUCCGGUAGAUCUAUCUGAUCUCUGCUUGUAAGGAAGGAUGGUUGGGCCGAUCGUGAUCGCGUCGGCGGGGCUGGGGAUGCUGGCGGGCGUGGCGAUGGCGAACCGGACCAUGGGAGACUCGGGGCUGCCGGCGGCGUCCAGGUGGGACGCGCGCCCGCGGUGCGCCACGUGCGCCGGCACCGGCCGGGAGGAGUGCCUCUGCAACCGCUGGUCCGACGGCGACGUGGGCUGCGGCUCCUGCUCCGGGUCCGGCCGCAAGCGCUGCCGCAGCUGCGGGGGAUCCGGCACCGGCCGGCCCAUGCCGGCCCGCCUCCUCGUCAAGCAGCAAAAACCCCCCACCGCGCACGGCCGAGACUACAACUGAUGAUCGAUGUCCGUCCAUGCGCGCGUGCAUGGAUCGAUCUCCGUUCAGUUGAUUCCGGGAAGGAAUUAAAGGUGCAAUUACAGUAAGCACAGCAGCAAACACAAGUAACAUGUGUGUCCAUCCAUUCCUUCCUUCCUGUGGAUGCACGAUAUACGUUCCUAGCUCCUUCGGCUUCAGCUUCAACGCGGGCACUAGUACAUGAUCUGCAAGCUAUAUCCACUCUACUCGGGGUCGGGGGUUGUUGAAGUUUGGGCUGAUAUACGUCACCACUUCAACGACAGUUCUUGGAAACUACAGAAAACUGCAACAGCAAAAAGAGCGAAAAAAGGUUGUACUACUUGAGAUCUAACUAGGCGAAGGGGAAGGACUUAAUUUAGGUCUUAGGCAGGUGUUCAGAUAUUUUUUUGCCAGGGGAAGAUUGUAUAGUUAAUUCAAUUCUGGAUGUAAGAUAUACACGUGUCUCGGAUAGGCUCGUCAAUAUACAGAUUGUGGCCUUCAGUUCCUUGAUUC